RNAcentral lists this ribosomal RNA (428 nucleotides) under uncultured bacterium. RNAcentral describes it as "partial 16S ribosomal RNA". It matches the Rfam family "Bacterial small subunit ribosomal RNA", at positions 354 to 796 of the family's 1533-position model. The record is from RNAcentral.
GUGGGGAAUAUUGGGCAAUGGGCGAAAGCCUGACCCAGCAACGCCGCGUGAGGGAAGAAGGUUUUCGGAUUGUAAACCUCUGUCCUUGGUGACGAAAAAAAUGACGGUAGCCAAGGAGGAAGCCCCGGCUAACUACGUGCCAGCAGCCGCGGUAAUACGUAGGGGGCAAGCGUUGUCCGGAAUGACUGGGCGUAAAGGGCGUGUAGGCGGCCGAUUAAGUCUGGAGUGAAAGUCCUGCUUUCAAGGUGGGAAUUGCUUUGGAGACUGGUUGGCUUGAGUGCGGAAGAGGUAAGUGGAAUUCCCAGUGUAGCGGUGAAAUGCGUAGAGAUUGGGAGGAACACCAGUGGCGAAGGCGACUUACUGGGCCGUAACUGACGCUGAGGCGCGAAAGCGUGGGGAGCGAACAGGAUUAGAUACCCCGGUAGUCC